UGAGGGAAAGUUGCAAAGAACUUUGAAGAGAGAGUUCAAGAGUACGUGAAACUGUUCAGAGGCAAACGGGUGGGCCCUCGAAAUCCUCUUGCGGAGAGAUUCAGUCGGGAGCCGCGGAGGCGGUGGCGGGUAACGGACCCUCGAGAAGGACGGUCCCCGCCCCGCGGUCUCGGCGGCGCCCGACGCAUUUCUCCCCGCACUCUGGACGCCGCAACGGAUCGGGUAGCUGCGAGAGUCGGCCUUGGGGCCGUCCCAGGCAGGUGGCCGGAUCGUCGGGACCCGUCUCGGCGACCCGGUUAUUCACGGGGCGGUGCACGUGGCGCGACACCCGAUCGAGGUCGAGGUUCCCCUUACGGGGAACGAUCCGUCUCCGUCCUCGAGGCGCGGCGGGUUGGACAGUGAGCGCCGACGCUGCCGACCCACUCCUCGUAGUGGCCGGCGCGGCGGUUGCCGCCGUUGGUCCCGGUAUUGUGCCGCAGCGGGACGACGCGGGUUGCGGCGAGUAGGUCGGUCACCCACCCGACCCGUCUUGAAACACGGACCAAGGAGUCUAACAUGUGCGCGAGUCGCAGGGUCUUGAACAGGCCCGCGGGCGCAAUGAAAGUGACGGUGCCCCCUCGCGGGGAUUGCCGGGCUGGGACUCCCGCUCCCGGCGGGAAGCACCAGCGACCCGUCCCUUCCGAUCCGUCGGUGGGGCGGAGUCAGAGCGCACACGUUGGGACCCGAAAGAUGGUGAACUAUGCCUGGGCAGAACGAAGCCAGAGGAAACUCUGGUGGAGGUUCGCAGCGGUUCUGACGUGCAAAUCGAUCGUCAGACCAGGG
Molecule: ribosomal RNA, 822 nt
Filed under: Carapoia sp. Br15-15
Lineage: Eukaryota; Metazoa; Arthropoda; Arachnida; Araneae; Pholcidae
Description: partial 28S ribosomal RNA
Rfam family: Eukaryotic large subunit ribosomal RNA
Source: RNAcentral